AUACGGAGGAUCCGAGCGUUAUCCGGAUUUAUUGGGUUUAAAGGGUGCGCAGGCGGGAGAUUAAGUCGGCGGUGAAAUUUUGCAGCUCAAAUGUAAAAGUGCCUUCGAUACUGGGUUUCUUGAGUGUGGAUGAAGUAGGCGGAAUUUGUGGUGUAGCGGGGAAAUGCUUCGAUAUCACGAGGAACUCCGAUUGCGCAGGCAGCUUACUAAACCACUACUGACGCUCAGGCACGAAGGCGUGGGGAUCAAACAGGAUUAGAUACCCUGGUAGUCCACGCAGUAAACGAUGAUUACUAGCUGUUUGCGAUACAAUGUAAGCGGCUGAGCGAAAGCGUUAAGUAAUCCACCUGGGGAGUACGGUCGCAAGAAUGAAACUCAAAUGAAUUGACGGGG
Molecule: ribosomal RNA, 393 nt
Filed under: uncultured bacterium
Lineage: Bacteria
Description: partial 16S ribosomal RNA
Rfam family: Bacterial small subunit ribosomal RNA
Source: RNAcentral